UCUUUAUUUAAACACAUUUUCAAGGACUUGUUAGAAUGGUUUGCAGAUGAGCCUGUAAAAGUGGACUAGAUGAGUGUACCUAUUCAACAUGAUGACGUUAAAAUGUCCCAGAAAAUCUCCAUAAUCAAAUUUUGCCACUUUUUAGCAACCGCCUUUUUCAGAACAAGCAAAAGCUUUAAAAAGUGCAAGGGUGUGUAAUUGAUGUAUUUUUUGCUGUAAAAUAAAACGUGAUAAUAUCUUGAGCUAGUGUUAAAAGCAGCCCUUAUUUUAAGCAUUUAACCAAAACCCAGAUGAUGGAUCCAGAAGCACUAAAAUUCUCAUUUCCGGGUUUUGGCCUACAAAACAUGUCAUCCCUGCAGCACUCUGAUAAAAAAAACUCUCAUAUUAAAAUCUUCUCGACAGCAAACACCUUUAAAGCCACACAAAUGCUUUCUCCUGGCUGAGCCCGAGUCACAUUACGAGAAUAAUCUUUUGUUUGUUUGUUUGUUUGACCACAUUCUUGGAAUGCUUAAUAACGGCUCCAAACACAUGCAUGGAGUCAGGCCGGCCUCCUCCGUCACGGAUGUCCCUCAGGGUUUGACCAGGAUUUGACUCCACGAUUAGAGAGAGGUAAGGCAGCCCCUGCUGGUGCUUCAUGUUCUGCUAUGGGAUCAUACAGUGCUGCUCUAUAGAGAUAAGAGUCAGCAUCAUCGGAGGAAUCGUGUGCAAUCAUAACCCCAGCAAGAGAUCUGCACAGGGGCACACAAAGCCGCUUCACCAUUACUAAUAUCCCACAAGAGAGACAUUAGCGAUUGUUGGCAGCUUUCCUGGCAUAUCAGCAAGAAGUGUUCAGCAAACUGACAACAGUUUAGUUAACCUCCCAUCAGCGGUUAUCUGAGGUGGAAGAUGUAUGCCUCGCAGUUACAUAAAACAAACAAUAUGUGGCAAAAGUUUACAGCUAUCUGCUCUCUGCGGGCGAUUGGAUAUCCAUGUGACGCUCCUCCACACACACCAAAACAGAAGUUCAUAAACGGGUUCAGGAAAAGAGAUUUCCUGUUGCUGCUGUAGACAGAGUGUGUUGUGCCGUGGAGAGGUGCAGAUGGCAUGAUCUAUCCUUCCAUUCUCCCAUUCCCUCGCUUUGAACCUCCAUUAGUUGGCUCCGCAUUAUCAGAUUUACUGUUAUUGUCACCCCCUGGAUUUGCACUUAUUUGUUUGGGGUAAACAUGUCAGUGCUGUGAACAGUCAGGAUGUGUUGUGAGUUCAGAUUUUCAUACAAACACUUUCAAUGUUGCAAUAUUAGAGUCAGUGUAUUGCCACAAGAAAACGAGCCUUUAAGAUGUGUAUCUCAUUAACUCAUGUCCAUGUCAUUAUAUGUGUGUGUGUCUGUGUGUGUGAGAAAUUAUGUUUUUCAGAAAUAAAUUAAGUCUUAUGAUCAUAUAGGUUUUUUUCCCCCAAAUUUCCCACAAAAAUGUCAUAACCACAAUGCAUCUGGGCAUUUUACUUAUAGGUUUGUUUGUAAUUCUCAUUAUUCUUAAUGGUUAUACCGUAAUAUAGGAGAGUGAUUUUUGUGUUGAAA
Long non-coding RNA from Carassius auratus (goldfish), 1555 nucleotides. Lineage: Eukaryota; Metazoa; Chordata; Actinopteri; Cypriniformes; Cyprinidae. The record is from Ensembl.